AACGAACGCUGGCGGCAUGCCUAACACAUGCAAGUCGAACGAGACCUUCGGUUCUAGUGGCUCACGGGUGCGUAACGCUUGGGAACCUGCCUUUAGGUUCGGAAUAACUCAGAGAAAUUUGAGCUAAUACCGGAUUAUGUCUUCGGACCAAAGAUUUAUCGCCUUUAGAUGUGCCCGCGUUGGAUUAGCUAGUUGGUGGGGUAAAGGCCUACCAAGGCGACGAUCCAUAGCUGGUCUGAGAGGAUGAUCGGCCACACUGGGACUGAGACACGGCCCAGACUCCUACGGGAGGCAGCAGUGGGGAAUAUUGGACAAUGGGCGAAAGCCUGAUCCAGCAAUGCCGCGUGAGUGAUGAAGGCCUUAGGGUUGUAAAGCUCUUUUACAAGAGAUGAUAAUGACAGUAUCGGGAGAAUAAGCUGCGGCUAACUACGUG
This 433-nucleotide ribosomal RNA is filed under the name uncultured bacterium. Its description in RNAcentral is "partial 16S ribosomal RNA". It matches the Rfam family "Bacterial small subunit ribosomal RNA", at positions 29 to 507 of the family's 1533-position model. The record is from RNAcentral.